Non-coding RNA from Oryctolagus cuniculus (rabbit), 1654 nucleotides. NCBI's taxonomy places the organism in Eukaryota, Metazoa, Chordata, Mammalia, Lagomorpha, Leporidae. The record is from RefSeq and is a predicted model, not a curated record.
CCGCAGGCGCCGGCGGCUCGGUCGGCGACUCUGUCGCACUUCGGUGACGUAACCACGCCCCGCGGCGCGUUGCUUGGAAACGGGGACCCAGCCUUUCUCCUCGGCGCUCCGCCCAGACGCUCGCGCUCCGCCCUCACCUGGCGACGAGCUCAUAGGACCCUGGAGAUACAGAAUGGAAUGGCUUCCAGCCUCUGAAUGACACCUGGAUCUGUAUAAAAACCACCUGCAGCAACACCAAGGCUUAUGCAUCACUUCAUGUUCAGUUAAGGGACUUAAAACCAGGCAGACUACAUACAAGGAAGAAAGAUGAGGUUUUAUAGGCUAAGUUGGCAGGUGUGGGAGCUCAUUGGAGACUGUUCAGAGGUGCUCUGACUCCAUGGAUCUGAGGAAGACUGCUUGGGUGACCAUGGAAUCUUUGUGCUUGUCCUUGGACCUUGGUAUUCCUUGAACAUGCAUACCUUUCCCAUCGUGAGGGACAUGGAUCGUGCAGUGCGAGGGACCCCGUCUUCUGCAGCAGGAGGGAACAAAGAAGAGAAUUCAGGGAUUCCUGUUGCUGAAAGGUCUGUUUGCUCCUGCUUAUCCCUCAUCAGCUGGAGCCCAAAGCCCCGCAGAGCUCAAGGCACCACCCUCCCCCCAACAUGUCUCUCAUUACUUUAAUGUUCACACGUCAAAACAUAAAUGCACGGUCCGCUGUGAAGUCAGAGUCAUCUCCUAAUAAUAAAAUCUGGCCAUGCCAUGUGGGUUAUGCCCACCAGUACACCCCACUGCCUGGAGGACAGAGGCUGACAUGCAGCCCCAGCCUUCACACUCUCACACACACACACUCCACAACUCCAUCACACCGUUUCAUCUUCUUUCUCCCAGUCCCCACUCUGCCAGUGCUUUUUUCCACCUGGGCCAUAUUUCUUCCUCUUGCCUGGAGAACUCCUAUUUUUACUUUAAACACUGACCGAUGCCAUCCUUCUGUGAAGGCUUUCUUGAUGCCCUCCAGCAGAAUCAAGGCCCAUGUUCUGUGCUCCUAUAGCAAUUUGUAUAAAACUUUAAAAAGAGUGGUUCUUUAAAUGCACUGCUAUUUAGUUCAGUAAUGGUGCAUUUUAGCCUGGUCCCUGCUCCCUACCCUUCAUCUGUCCCCAGGCUGUUUGCAGUAGCAUCUUCAUGGGAUUCCCUGUCUCUGCUUGUCCCAGUAAUGUAAUCACCACAUCUCAGAGGGAACCUUUUCAGACUACAUAAAUGAUCAGGUCAUCUCCCUGAUUCGGAUCUCUGGUUUCCAUAAUAAAGCCCAAAUUCCUUAGCAUGUACUUCCUAAAAUGGGGGUCCCAAAACAUAAAGACAUAGGGUUUGGGGUCACUCUCACAAAGUGGAGGAAGCUCUUGGCAGCCGGGGUUUCUGUGUCCAUGGUCAGCUGCUACGAUCAGCUACACUGAGAGUCAGACAGUCAUUUGGGGCCAUUUCCAUUUCCUUGUCUUGGGCCCCGUGGGGUCGCUGGAGCAGCUGCUGUGAGGCCUCUAGGCAUCACUGACCUGGGCCAGAGAGCUUUGCUCAACUGGAAACAGGUUCUAGGGCUGCCCUGAUCACUCUGCCUCUGGCUAACAGCCACUGGGGUCCACAUUGCAGGCCCAAGAUGGAAGCAGGCAGCCGGGUCCUUACCAGAGGG